GCCAUUAGUUGCUACGAAAGGGCACUCGUAAUGGGACUGCCGGUGACAAACCGGAGGAAGGUGGGGAUGACGUCAAGUCCUCAUGGCCCUUAUAGUGGGGCUACACACGUCAUACAAUGGCCGGUACAGAGGGUAGCCAACCCGCGAGGGGGAGCCAAUCCCACAAAGCCGGUCGUAGUCCGGAUCGCAGUCUGCAACUCGACUGCGUGAAGUCGGAAUCGCUAGUAAUCGCGGAUCAGCAUGUCGCGGUGAAUACGUUCCCGGGUCUU
RNAcentral lists this ribosomal RNA (269 nucleotides) under uncultured Allobrachymonas sp. RNAcentral describes it as "uncultured Brachymonas sp. partial 16S ribosomal RNA". It matches the Rfam family "Bacterial small subunit ribosomal RNA", at positions 1107 to 1382 of the family's 1533-position model. Lineage: Bacteria; Pseudomonadati; Pseudomonadota; Betaproteobacteria; Burkholderiales; Comamonadaceae. The record is from RNAcentral.